Triticum aestivum (bread wheat) is the source of this 136-nucleotide non-coding RNA. NCBI's taxonomy places the organism in Eukaryota, Viridiplantae, Streptophyta, Magnoliopsida, Poales, Poaceae. The record is from Rfam.
CAUGUACUCCCUCCGUUCAAAAUUACUUGACUUUCAUUUGUUCAAAAAUAGAUGUACCUAUAUACUAAAACAUGUCUAGAUACAUCUAUAUUUUAAUAAAUGGAAGUCGUGUAUUGUGGAAUGGAGGGAGUACUAU